CCUACGGGAGGCAGCAGUGAGGAAUAUUGGUCAAUGGACGAGAGUCUGAACCAGCCAAGUAGCGUGAAGGAUGACUGCCCCAUGCAUUGUAAACUUCUUUUAUCUGGGAAUAAAAUGUUCCACGUGUGCCUUUUCGUAUGUACCUUAUGAAUAAGCAUCGGCUAACUCCGUGCCAGCAGCCGCGGUAAUACGGAGGAUCCGAGCGUUAUCCGGAUUUAUUGGGUUUAAAGGGUGCGUAGGGGGAGUGUUAAGUCAGGUGUGAAAGUUUGGGGCUCAACCCUAACAGUGCAGUUGAAACUGGCUGUCUUGAGUACAGUAGAGGUGGGCGGAAUGCGUAGUGUAGCGGUGAAAUGCUUAGAUAUCACGAAGAACUCCGAUUGCGAAGGCAGUUCACUGGAGUGCAACUGACACUGAGGCACGAAAGUGUGGGUAUCAAACAGGAUUAGAUACCCUUGUAGUC
Molecule: ribosomal RNA, 460 nt
Filed under: uncultured bacterium
Lineage: Bacteria
Description: partial 16S ribosomal RNA
Rfam family: Bacterial small subunit ribosomal RNA
Source: RNAcentral